Molecule: ribosomal RNA, 401 nt
Filed under: uncultured bacterium
Lineage: Bacteria
Description: bacterial SSU rRNA
Rfam family: Bacterial small subunit ribosomal RNA
Source: RNAcentral
GGGGAAUCUUGCACAAUGGGGGAAACCCUGAUGCAGCGACGCCGCGUGAGCGAUGAAGCCCUUCGGGGUGUAAAGCUCUUUCGGCAGGGAAGAUGAUGACGGUACCUGCAGAAGCAGCUGCGGCUAACUACGUGCCAGCAGCCGCGGUAAUACGUAGGCAGCAAGCGUUGUUCGGAGUUACUGGGCGUAAAGGGUGUAUAGGCGGUUCUCUAAGUCUGGUGUGAAAUCUCCCGGCUCAACUGGGAGGGUGCGCCGGAAACUGGAGGGCUUGGAGUGCGGGAUGGGAGAGUGGAAUUCCUGGUGUAGCGGUGAAAUGCGUAGAUAUCAGGAGGAACACCUGCGGUGUAGACGGCUCUCUGGACCGUAACUGACGCUGAGACACGAAAGCGUGGGUAGCAAAC